RNAcentral lists this transfer RNA (66 nucleotides) under Leptomona erythrocephala. Its description in RNAcentral is "tRNA-Asp". Lineage: Eukaryota; Metazoa; Arthropoda; Insecta; Coleoptera; Chrysomelidae. The record is from RNAcentral.
AAAAAUUUAGUUAAAAUAUAACAUUAACUUGUCAAGUUAAAAUCAUCUUUACAAAGAUAAUUUUUA